RNAcentral lists this ribosomal RNA (369 nucleotides) under uncultured eukaryote. Its description in RNAcentral is "partial 18S ribosomal RNA". It matches the Rfam family "Eukaryotic small subunit ribosomal RNA", at positions 592 to 976 of the family's 1831-position model. The record is from RNAcentral.
CAAUAGCGUAUAUUAAUGUUGUUGCGGUUAAAAAGCUCGUAGUUGAAUUUUUGCUUGAGGCAUCUUUCCCAGCUUCGGCUGCGUGAAUAGUUUGCUUUGGGCACUUUCGUGGUACCGGCUGUAAUAGGUUGGAUUCUGCCACGGCUUUUACCUUGAAAAAAUUAGAGUGUUUCAAGCAGGUUUUAGCCUUGAAUACAUUAGCAUGGAAUAAUGAAAUAGGACUUCCGUUCUAUUUUGUUGGUUUGAGGAUGGAAGGUAUGAUUAAUAGGGAUAGUUGGGGGCAUUCGUAUUUGACUGUCAGAGGUGAAAUUCUUGGAUUUGUCAAAGACGAACUACUGCGAAAGCAUUUGCCAAAGAUGUUUUCAUUAA